UGGCGACCGGCGCACGGGUGAGUAACACGUAUCCAACCUGCCGAUGACUCGGGGAUAGCCUUUCGAAAGAAAGAUUAAUACCCGAUGGCAUAGUUCUUCCGCAUGGUAGAACUAUUAAAGAAUUUCGGUCAUCGAUGGGGAUGCGUUCCAUUAGCUUGUUGGCGGGGUAACGGCCCACCAAGGCAUCGAUGGAUAGGGGUUCUGAGAGGAAGGUCCCCACAUUGGAACUGAGACACGGUCCAAACUCCUACGGAAGGCAGCAG
RNAcentral lists this ribosomal RNA (263 nucleotides) under uncultured bacterium. Its description in RNAcentral is "partial 16S ribosomal RNA". It matches the Rfam family "Bacterial small subunit ribosomal RNA", at positions 89 to 354 of the family's 1533-position model. The record is from RNAcentral.